RNAcentral lists this ribosomal RNA (500 nucleotides) under uncultured bacterium. RNAcentral describes it as "bacterial SSU rRNA". It matches the Rfam family "Bacterial small subunit ribosomal RNA", at positions 415 to 905 of the family's 1533-position model. The record is from RNAcentral.
CCUUCGGGUCGUAAACUCCUUUCGAUCGAGACGAAUGGCCUCCGGGUGAAUAAUCCGGAGGAGUGACGGUACCGAGAGAAGAAGCCCCGGCUAACUCCGUGCCAGCAGCCGCGGUAAUACGGGGGGGGCAAGCGUUGUUCGGAAUUACUGGGCGUAAAGGGCUCGUAGGUGGCCAACUAAGUCAGACGUGAAAUCCCUCGGCUUAACCGGGGAACUGCAUCUGAUACUGGAUGGCUUGAGUUCGGGAGAGGGAUGCGGAAUUCCAGGUGUAGCGGUGAAAUGCGUAGAUAUCUGGAGGAACACCGGUGGCGAAGGCGGCAUCCUGGACCGACACUGACGCUGAGGAGCGAAAGCCAGGGGAGCAAACGGGAUUAGAUGCCCCGGUAGUCCUGGCCCUAAACGAUGAAUGCUUGGUGUGGCGGGUAUCGAUCCCUGCCGUGCCGAAGCUAACGCGAUAAGCAUUCCGCCUGGGGAGUACGGUCGCAAGGCUGAAACUCAAA